UGACACAAAUCACUGUUUGUCUCCCAU
This 27-nucleotide non-coding RNA is filed under the name Rattus norvegicus (Norway rat). The record is from RNAcentral. Lineage: Eukaryota; Metazoa; Chordata; Mammalia; Rodentia; Muridae.